This 252-nucleotide ribosomal RNA is filed under the name uncultured bacterium. RNAcentral describes it as "partial 16S ribosomal RNA". It matches the Rfam family "Bacterial small subunit ribosomal RNA", at positions 524 to 776 of the family's 1533-position model. The record is from RNAcentral.
UACGUAGGGGGCAAGCGUUAUCCGGAAUCACUGGGCGUAAAGGGUGCGUAGGUGGUUUUGUAAGUCUGAGGUAAAAGGUCACGGCUCAACCGUGGUAAGCCUUGGAAACUGCAAAACUUGAAUGCAGGAGAGGAAAGUGGAAUUCCUAGUGUAGCGGUGAAAUGCGUAGAUAUUAGGAGGAACAUCCAUGGCGAAGGCAGCUUUCUGGACUGUUAUUGACACUGAGGCACGAAAGCGUGGGGAGCAAACAGG